RNAcentral lists this ribosomal RNA (482 nucleotides) under uncultured bacterium. RNAcentral describes it as "partial 16S ribosomal RNA". It matches the Rfam family "Bacterial small subunit ribosomal RNA", at positions 30 to 507 of the family's 1533-position model. The record is from RNAcentral.
AUUGAACGCUGGCGGCAUGCUUUACACAUGCAAGUCGAACGGUAACAGCACUUCGGUGGCUGACGAGUGGCGAACGGGUGAGUAAUACAUUGGAACGUGCCCAGUAGUGGGGGAUAACUACUCGAAAGAGUAGCUAAUACCGCAUGAGAUCCAAGGAUGAAAGCAGGGGACCUUCGGGUUUUGCGUUAAUAAAGCGGCCGAUGGCAGAUUAGGCAGUUGGUGGGAUAAAAGCUUACCAAGCCGACGAUCUGUAGCUGGUCUGAGAGGACGACCAGCCACACGGGGAAUAGGACACGGCCCCGGCUCCUGCGGAAGGCACCAGUGUGGAAUUUUGGAUGAUGGGCGCAAGCCUGUGCCAGCAAUGCCGCAUGCAGGAUGAAGUCAUUCGGGUUAGAAACUGCUUAUGUACGGGACGAAAAGUCCUCUACUAUUACAGGAGGGUCGUGACGGUACCGUAAGAAUAAGCACCGGCUAACUACGUG